RNAcentral lists this long non-coding RNA (537 nucleotides) under Homo sapiens (human). RNAcentral describes it as "non-protein coding lnc-XKR9-5:1". Lineage: Eukaryota; Metazoa; Chordata; Mammalia; Primates; Hominidae. The record is from RNAcentral.
ACCUGGCGGCGGCGCCCUAGGCCUCGGAGGCUGCCCGGGCGGGCUGGGGCUCGGGCGGCGCUCGCUGAGAGUCGCGGCGCCCCUCAGCCGCUUCCCGGGCGCCGAUCGCCGCCCUCCUGCCCCGGGGUGGGGCCCAGGGGCAUCAGCAGCCGCGGGCUCUCGGCCGCCGCCUGGGAACUCAGGGAUCUUCCUCUUACUUGACUGGGGAAUCCAAUCAGGAGCAGUGAAAGAUAUGCAAAUACCUUGAUGAUUUGCUCUUAUAAGGACUCAUCACUUCUCAAAAAACUUCCAAAUACACCUAAAAUGAGUUAUUCUUAAGAAGGAGAAUGAGGAUCCAACCCUUUAACUGAGAUCAAGAUCUAUUCCUGAGCAUCAAUGAGAGAAGACUGGACCAUGUGGGAACAGCUUAGAGUGAAGCCAACUCCCCAGCUUAGGAGACCAAGUGAGGAAUGCAACACUAGGAUUCUUGACCAGAUUUCUACUAAAGCAAAGACUUAAGAACAGAACUGCAUGCUCCACAAGUAAACCCCAAUGGCC